RNAcentral lists this ribosomal RNA (253 nucleotides) under uncultured bacterium. RNAcentral describes it as "partial 16S ribosomal RNA". It matches the Rfam family "Bacterial small subunit ribosomal RNA", at positions 524 to 776 of the family's 1533-position model. The record is from RNAcentral.
UACGUAGGUGGCAAGCGUUGUCCGGAAUUAUUGGGCGUAAAGCGCGCGCAGGCGGCCUCUUAAGUCUGAUGUGAAAGCCCCCGGCUCAACCGGGGGAGGGCCAUUGGAAACUGGGAGGCUUGAGUAUAGGAGAGAAGAGUGGAAUUCCACGUGUAGCGGUGAAAUGCGUAGAGAUGUGGAGGAACACCAGUGGCGAAGGCGACUCUUGGCCUAUAACUGACGCUGAGGCGCGAAAGCGUGGGGAGCAAACAGG